Molecule: ribosomal RNA, 252 nt
Filed under: uncultured bacterium
Lineage: Bacteria
Description: partial 16S ribosomal RNA
Rfam family: Bacterial small subunit ribosomal RNA
Source: RNAcentral
UACGUAAGGGGCUAGCGUUAUCCGGAAUUACUGGGCGUAAAGGGUACGUAGGCGGUUUAUUAAGUCAGGGGUGAAAGGCUACGGCUCAACCGUAGUAAGCCUUUGAAACUGAUAAACUUGAGUAUGGUAGAGGAAAGUGGAAUUCCUGGUGUAGCGGUGAAAUGCGUAGAUAUCAGGAGGAACAUCGAUGGCGAAGGCAGCUUUCUGGGCCAUUACUGACGCUGAGGUACGAAAGCGUGGGGAGCGAACAGG